AACGCUGGCGGCGGGCUUACACAUGCAAGUCGAAGGAGAAGGAAGGAGCUUGCUCUUUCUGGAGACUGGCGCACGGGUGAGUAACGCGUAGACAACCUGCCUAUAGCUGGGGGAUAACAUCUCGAAAGAGGUGCUAAUACCGCAUAAUGCAGCGGGGCCGCAUGGUCACAGUUGUUAAAGCCUUCGGGCGGCUAUAGAUGGGUCUGCGUGCCAUUAGUUAGUUGGUAGGGUAACGGCCUACCAAGGCGAUGAUGGCUAGGGGGUCUGAGAGGAUGAUCCCCCACACUGGGACUGAGACACGGCCCAGACUCCUACGGGAGGCAGCAGUGAGGAAUCUUGCGCAAUGGAGGAAACUCUGACGCAGCCACGCCGCGUGCCGGAAGAAGGCCCUAUGGGUUGUAAACGGCUUUUAAUUGGGAAGAAGGAUAGGGUUUUGAUCUUAUUUGACGGUACCGAUUGAAUAAGCACCGGCUAACUCCGUGCCAGCAGCCGCGGUAAUACGGAGGGUGCAAGCGUUGUCCGGAAUCAUUGGGUGUAAAGGGUGCGUAGGCUGGCUCUUAAGUCUGAGGUGAAAUCUUGCCGCUUAACGGUAAAAUGGCCUUGGAUACUGGGAGUCUUGAAUCUGACAGAAGUCGGUGGGAAUUCGUAGUGUAGCGGUGAAAUGCAUAGAUAUUACGAAGAACACCANUGGCGAAAGCGGCCGGCUGGGGUCAGUAUAGACGCUGAAGCACGAGAGCGUGGGGGAGCGAACANGANUAGAUANCCUGGUAGUCCACGCUGUAAACGAUGUAUGCUAGUUGUUGG
RNAcentral lists this ribosomal RNA (804 nucleotides) under uncultured bacterium. Its description in RNAcentral is "bacterial SSU rRNA". It matches the Rfam family "Bacterial small subunit ribosomal RNA", at positions 32 to 826 of the family's 1533-position model. The record is from RNAcentral.